AACGCAAAUUGCGCCCUUUGGUAUUCCGAAGGGCAUGCCUGUUUGAGUGUCUUAUAAACCUCACCCUAUUGUUUAUUCAGUAGUUGGUGCUUUGGGUGUUGCCGUCUGGCUCGCCUUAAAUAUCUAAGUGGAAUGCGUAAUAAGUUCUCGCAACCCUCCACUCUAACACACUUUAUAUUCUGACCUCAAAUCAGGUAGGACUACCCGCUGAACUUAA
Molecule: unclassified non-coding RNA, 217 nt
Filed under: uncultured Tremellales
Lineage: Eukaryota; Fungi; Basidiomycota; Tremellomycetes; Tremellales
Also listed under: 1 other name
Description: sequence contains ITS2
Rfam family: 5.8S ribosomal RNA (bases 1-52)
Source: RNAcentral